UACAGAGGGGGCAAGCGUUGUUCGGAAUUACUGGGCGUAAAGGGCGCGUAGGCGGCCGCCUAAGUCAGACGUGAAAUCCCUCGGCUCAACCGGGGAACUGCGUCUGAUACUGGUUGGCUUGAGUGCAGGAGAGGAACGCGGAAUUCCAGGUGUAGCGGUGAAAUGCGUAGAUAUCUGGAGGAACACCGGUGGCGAAGGCGGCGUUCUGGACUGCAACUGACACUGAGGAACGAAAGCCAGGGGAGCAAACGGG
This 253-nucleotide ribosomal RNA is filed under the name uncultured bacterium. RNAcentral's name for it is "partial 16S ribosomal RNA". It matches the Rfam family "Bacterial small subunit ribosomal RNA", at positions 524 to 776 of the family's 1533-position model. The record is from RNAcentral.